CCUACGGGUGGCAGCAGUGGGGAAUAUUGCACAAUGGGGGGAACCCUGAUGCAGCAAUGCCGCGUGAAGGAUGAAGGUUUUCGGAUUGUAAACUUCUUUUGUACGGGACGAAGAAAGUGACGGUACCGUAAGAAUAAGCCACGGCUAACUACGUGCCAGCAGCCGCGGUAAUACGUAGGUGGCAAGCGUUAUCCGGAUUUACUGGGUGUAAAGGGCGAGUAGGCGGGAUUGCAAGUCAGAUGUGAAAACUAUGGGCUCAACCGAUAGAGUGCAUUUGAAACUGCAGUUCUUGAGUGAUGGAGGGGCAGGCGGAAUUCCCGGUGUAGCGGUGAAAUGCUUAGAUAUCACGCAGAACCCCGAUUGCGAAGGCAGCCUGCCAGGCCAUGACUGACGCUGAUGCACGAAAGCGUGGGGAUCAAACAGGAUUAGAUACCCGAGUAGUC
This 443-nucleotide ribosomal RNA is filed under the name uncultured bacterium. RNAcentral describes it as "partial 16S ribosomal RNA". It matches the Rfam family "Bacterial small subunit ribosomal RNA", at positions 338 to 795 of the family's 1533-position model. The record is from RNAcentral.